This 451-nucleotide ribosomal RNA is filed under the name uncultured bacterium. Its description in RNAcentral is "partial 16S ribosomal RNA". It matches the Rfam family "Bacterial small subunit ribosomal RNA", at positions 354 to 796 of the family's 1533-position model. The record is from RNAcentral.
GUGGGGAAUAUUGGACAAUGGGGGGAACCCUGAUCCAGCCAUGCCGCGUGUGUGAAGAAGGCCUUUUGGUUGUAAAGCACUUUAAGCGAGGAGGAGGCUACCGAGAUUAAUACUCUUGGAUAGUGGACGUUACUCGCAGAAUAAGCACCGGCUAACUCUGUGCCAGCAGCCGCGGUAAUACAGAGGGUGCAAGCGUUAAUCGGAUUUACUGGGCGUAAAGCGCGCGUAGGUGGCCAAUUAAGUCAAAUGUGAAAUCCCCGAGCUUAACUUGGGAAUUGCAUUCGAUACUGGUUGGCUAGAGUAUGGGAGAGGAUGGUAGAAUUCCAGGUGUAGCGGUGAAAUGCGUAGAGAUCUGGAGGAAUACCGAUGGCGAAGGCAGCCAUCUGGCCUAAUACUGACACUGAGGUGCGAAAGCAUGGGGAGCAAACAGGAUUAGAUACCCCGGUAGUCU